GACCUGGCUGGGCGGUCCGCUUAACGGCGUGUACUGUCUGGCUGGGCCUUACCUCUUGGUGAGCCGGCGUGCCCUUUAUUGGUGUGCGUCGGGGAACCAGGACUUUUACCUUGAAAAAAUUAGAGUGUUUAAAACAGGCGUUUGCUUGAAUACAUUAGCAUGGAAUAACGGAAUAGGACU
This 180-nucleotide ribosomal RNA is filed under the name uncultured Glomeromycotina. RNAcentral's name for it is "partial small subunit ribosomal RNA". The record is from RNAcentral. Lineage: Eukaryota; Fungi; Glomeromycota.